AAGCAGGCCCUAAGGAGCAUUCAAAAAUCAACCGAAAGAAGAGACUAUUUUUUUGAUGUAUAAAAAGAUAUUAUUCUUUUAUUAUUCAUAUAUUGACAAAUUGGACUUGUUUCUAAAAAAAUAAAUUAGUUUUUAUAUAUUUAUAUAUUAUUUGUUUCAUAAUUUUAAAGGUUGUGAUAACAAAUAAGCUGAUUCAUUUAACGUGUUAUUGCAUCAACCAUUAUAUAGUACGACAACUCGUAAAACUUUACCUCCUUGUGUGCAAAAAUUUAGCUUUGCCCCUACAUGCCUUUUAGCAAUGAUGAGUUGUAUAUAUAUAU
RNAcentral lists this long non-coding RNA (320 nucleotides) under Elaeis guineensis (African oil palm). Its description in RNAcentral is "long non-coding RNA (EGUI_LNC023686)". Lineage: Eukaryota; Viridiplantae; Streptophyta; Magnoliopsida; Arecales; Arecaceae. The record is from RNAcentral.